Molecule: ribosomal RNA, 496 nt
Filed under: uncultured bacterium
Lineage: Bacteria
Description: partial 16S ribosomal RNA
Rfam family: Bacterial small subunit ribosomal RNA
Source: RNAcentral
GAUGAACGCUGGCGGCGUGCCUAAUACAUGCAAGUCGAGCGAACAGACGAGGAGCUUGCUCCUCUGACGUUAGCGGCGGACGGGUGAGUAACACGUGGAUAACCUACCUAUAAGACUGGGAUAACUUCGGGAAACCGGAGCUAAUACCGGAUAAUAUAUUGAACCGCAUGGUUCAAUAGUGAAAGACGGUUUUGCUGUCACUUAUAGAUGGAUCCGCGCCGCAUUAGCUAGUUGGUAAGGUAACGGCUUACCAAGGCAACGAUGCGUAGCCGACCUGAGAGGGUGAUCGGCCACACUGGAACUGAGACACGGUCCAGACUCCUACGGGAGGCAGCAGUAGGGAAUCUUCCGCAAUGGGCGAAAGCCUGACGGAGCAACGCCGCGUGAGUGAUGAAGGUCUUCGGAUCGUAAAACUCUGUUAUUAGGGAAGAACAAAUGUGUAAGUAACUAUGCACGUCUUGACGGUACCUAAGCAGAAAGCCACGGCUAACACGUG